ACAUUCUGAAAAUUGCCUUGGAUGUUUCAGUUGUCCUUGGUAAGAUAACGGUGCCUAUAUGAAAAUGGUACAUUAAGCUUAUUGCCCACUUAUAUUUUGUGUGGUGAUUAAACCCGUGUUCCUACAAGC
Molecule: small nucleolar RNA, 129 nt
Organism: Polyodon spathula (Mississippi paddlefish)
Lineage: Eukaryota; Metazoa; Chordata; Actinopteri; Acipenseriformes; Polyodontidae
Product: small nucleolar RNA ACA64
Exons: 1
Source: RefSeq, a predicted model, not a curated record